Molecule: long non-coding RNA, 1935 nt
Organism: Nerophis ophidion (straightnose pipefish)
Lineage: Eukaryota; Metazoa; Chordata; Actinopteri; Syngnathiformes; Syngnathidae
Exons: 3
Source: RefSeq, a predicted model, not a curated record
GGAGGUGAAAGGGGAGAUCUUUCUGGCUAAUCCCAAACUCGAGACACCGCUGAUCCCUGAAAGUGAAGCUGUUGUUUUCUUCAAUUUGCAAUUCAACAUUCACGUGAUUUGUGGUGUGGAAGACAACACUUGUGGAGGACACACACACACACACACACACACACACACACACACCUCCAAGCUGAGCAGCAACAUGACAUCAUCCUGAGGUGAACUUUUUGAAAAUUUUAAGGAUUUUAAGUGCAAUCCUUCAAUCAUGAAUAACACAUUCGGUGAAAUUCACAUCUUAUUUACACGAAACAUCCAAACUAAACAUUCAAUUGUCCCCCAAAAAAAUAUUAAGUUACUUUUGGAAAUUGUCUAAUAAAAUAAGCAUGACAACAAACAAUAAGUCCUGAUAGUUUGUAAAAAAAUAAAUAAAUAAAUAAAUAAAUAAAAGUCAUGCGAAUAAAGUCAAAGUAGCUGUUGUUGAUCCUGUAGUUGGCAAUAAAGUCCUUUUGGAAGCAUGUCGUGUAAUAACAAACCAAGUGGCUUUGCAAUACCACUUGUACACGUCAAUCACACACACACACACACACACACACACACACACACACACACACACACACACACACGAAACCAAAUUGACAGUACGGACCACAAAAACGCGUACUUUUCUUCUUAGUUCCUUACCGUGUGUGGUCCUUAAACUUGGAGUAGAGAAAGAAGCAAGAACAAAUAAAAGUCCGAGAAGGUGAGGAAGCAAAAAAAAGGCGACUUGACGCUCGAAGGUGAGAAGCCGUGCUCAGGGGAGGCCACGCCCAUCUCGUCAAACCACGCCCAUCCGCAUGAUUGACAGCCCAACGCCUCUUAACAAAGAGAUACAUAAUAGACAAAAAGGUCCAAACGUUGCACAACUUGGACAUUUACUUAUACUUUGACAUUUACGUCAGCCUUCAGUUUAAUCGACUCACUCUGACUGGGCUCCCCUUUAAACCAGCAAAUCACACACGUUUACCAAAACGUGUCUCAUUGUCAAUAUCACGAUUAUGUAAUCAUUACGUCUGCAUUGUUAAUUGCACAAUCAUUAAUAAUAAAUACAAACGAUCCAACAAGUUGUACAGCGCGGAACUAAAAUGUCACCCUCUAGUGGAAAGAAAACGCUACUGCGUGAGAAAAGAAAUACAUGACAGUCCGCCGAGUUUAGCCAUAGACAUGUUCGAAGUAAACACAGCAUUGGCUGCUGUGACGCGAGAAAUUGGGCCGCCAUCUUGAAGUGGUGAUGAGGAGCCGGCGAGCAGCCUCUUGGCACAUGUCUGUAAGUUUAGAGCAGCGGUCACCAAGCUUUUUGAAAGCAAGAGCUACUUCGUGGGUACUGAUUCAUGCGAAGGGCUACCAGUUUGAUACACACUUAAAUAAAUUGCCCGAAAUAGCCAAUUUGCUCAAUUUACCUUUAAUAAAUAAAUCUAUACAUAUAUAUAUAUUAAAAAAAUGGGUAUUUAUGUCCGUCAUUCCGUCGUACAUUUUUUUUCCUUUUACGGAAGUUUUUUUUUAGAGAAUAAAUGAUGAAAAAAACACUUAAUUGAACGGUUUAAAAGAGGAGAAAACAGGAAAACAAUUCUAAUUUAAAUUUUGACUCUAAGUUUGAUUCUACAGAUUUUCUAGAUUUGACGGAAUAUUUUUUUUUAAUUUUAAUCAUAAGUUUGAGGAAAUAUUUCUCAAAUAUCCUUCGUUGAAAAAGCAGAAGCUAAAAUGAAGAAUGAAAUUAAAAUUUAUUUAUUAUUCUUUACAAUAAAAAAAAUACUUGAACAUUGAUUUAAAUUGUCAGGAAAGAAGAGGAAGGAAUUUAAAAGGUUAAAAGGUAUAUGUGUUUAAAAAUCCUAAAAUCAUUUUUAAGGUUGUAUUUUUUCUCUAAAAUUGUCUUUCUGAAAGUUAUAAGAAGCAAAGUUAAGAAAA